AGUGAACGCUGGCGGUAGGCCUAACACAUGCAAGUCGAACGGCAGCACAGGAGAGCUUGCUCUCUGGGUGGCGAGUGGCGGACGGGUGAGGAAUGCAUCGGAAUCUACUCUUUCGUGGGGGAUAACGUAGGGAAACUUACGCUAAUACCGCAUACGACCUACGGGUGAAAGCCGGGGACCUUCGGGCCUGGCGCGAAUGACUGAGCCGAUGCCCGAUUAGCUAGUUGGCGGGGUAAGAGCCCACCAAGGCGACGAUCGGUAGCUGGUCUGAGAGGAUGAUCAGCCACACUGGAACUGAGACACGGUCCAGACUCCUACGGGAGGCAGCAGUGGGGAAUAUUGGACAAUGGGCGCAAGCCUGAUCCAGCCAUACCGCGUGGGUGAAGAAGGCCUUCGGGUUGUAAAGCCCUUUUGUUGGGAAAGAAAAGCAGCUGGUUAAUACCCGGUUGUUCUGACGGUACCCAAAGAAUAAGCACCGGCUAACUUCGUG
RNAcentral lists this ribosomal RNA (490 nucleotides) under uncultured bacterium. Its description in RNAcentral is "partial 16S ribosomal RNA". It matches the Rfam family "Bacterial small subunit ribosomal RNA", at positions 29 to 507 of the family's 1533-position model. The record is from RNAcentral.